GAUCCUGGCUCAGGAUGAACGCUAGCGACAGGCUUAACACAUGCAAGUCGAGGGGCAGCGGGGAGUAGCAAUACUUCGCCGGCGACCGGCGCACGGGUGAGUAACACGUGUGCAACCAACCCCGUACCGGGAGAUAACCCGCGGAAACGUGGACUAACAUCCCAUAAGACUCUAGAGCCGCAUGGCUUUGGAUUAAAUUACGUCGGUGGACGGGCGACGCGCGACAUAGUAGUG
This 234-nucleotide ribosomal RNA is filed under the name uncultured bacterium. Its description in RNAcentral is "partial 16S ribosomal RNA". It matches the Rfam family "Bacterial small subunit ribosomal RNA", at positions 15 to 246 of the family's 1533-position model. The record is from RNAcentral.